Molecule: ribosomal RNA, 253 nt
Filed under: uncultured bacterium
Lineage: Bacteria
Description: partial 16S ribosomal RNA
Rfam family: Bacterial small subunit ribosomal RNA
Source: RNAcentral
UACGAAGGGGGCUAGCGUUGUUCGGAAUUACUGGGCGUAAAGCGCACGUAGGUGGGUUGUUAAGUCAGGGGUGAAAUCCCGGAGCUCAACUCCGGAACUGCCUUUGAUACUGGCAAUCUAGAGACUGGAAGAGGUUAGUGGAAUUCCCAGUGUAGAGGUGAAAUUCGUAGAUAUUGGGAAGAACACCAGUGGCGAAGGCGGCUAACUGGUCCAGUACUGACGCUGAGGUGCGAAAGCGUGGGGAGCAAACAGG